AGAAAUUUACUGGUGUGUGGAGGGUUUACUGACCCACACGACCUUUUUAAAUCCGUUUGUGACAAAGUUGAUCAAACAUUUACAAGCAAUCCUACGACUCGAAAGAGUAUAGAACUUCCUACUUAUAGUCUAUUAGAUGAAAAGACAAAUUAAAAUAUCUUAAAUCUUGACCUAAACAUUGAAUUACGAGUAACUUAUUCUUUAAUAAUUCAGUUUUAG
Molecule: long non-coding RNA, 219 nt
Filed under: Olea europaea (common olive)
Lineage: Eukaryota; Viridiplantae; Streptophyta; Magnoliopsida; Lamiales; Oleaceae
Description: long non-coding RNA (OEUR_LNC014366)
Source: RNAcentral